GGGGAAAAAUUAAUAAAGUGUUAAAUUAAUAAAAAAAAUUUUAAUAUAAUAAUAUUUUAAUUGGGGAGUUGAAGUAUUUUUUAUAGAAAAAAUUUUAAAAUUUAUAGUAAAUUAGUAAUGUAAAUGAAAUUUGAAAAAUUAGUGAAAAUUUAAUUUAUUAAAAAGUAAUUUUAAUUUAAUGUAUCUUGUGUAUCAGAGUUUAUUAAUUAUUUUUUAAAAGUUUAAAUUUCUCGAAUUAAAAAGAGUUAAUUAAUUAAUUAAUUUAUUGUAGUAUAAAUAUUUAUAAUAGUUAAUUUGAAAUGAAAUGUUAAUCGUUUUUUAAGAUAUCUAGUUUUUUUAGAAAAAAAUUUAAUUUUGGAAUUAUUUUAAAUUAAUUAAUUUUUUUUUUAAUUAAUUAAUUAAUAAUUUAAAUAUUUAAAGGGAUAAGCUUUUAAAUAUAGUAUUAUAAAAAUUAAUUAUUAUUAAAAAUUUUUUAGAAUUUAUAUUGUUUAAAAAAUUUAGUUUAUUAUAAAUAAUUUUAAUUUAAAGAAAAAUUUAAUUUUUUUUUUAAUUUUUUAUAAAAAUAUUAUUUAAAUUAAUUUAAAUUAAAAAAUAAUGAUAAAAUUAGUAUAUUUUUUUUUUAUAUUUUUAGGUUAUAAAAAAAAUUUAAGGUUAAUAAAAAGAAUUCGGCAAAAAUUUAUAUUCACCUGUUUAUCAAAAACAUGUCUUUUUGAUUAUAAUUUAAAGUCUAGUCUGCCCACUGAUAAAAAAAUUAAAGGGCUGCAGUAUUUUGACUGUACAAAGGUAGCAUAAUAAAUAGUCUCUUAAUUAGUGACUUGUAUGAAUGAUUGGAUGAAAUAUAAACUGUUUCUUAUUUAUUUAAUAUAAUUUAAUUUUUUAAUUAAAAAGUUAAAAUAAUUUUAAAAGACGAGAAGACCCUAUAGAGUUUUAUAUAAAUUAUAAUUAAAUUAUUAUUUAAAAUUUUAAAAAAUUAAUUUUAAUAUGUAUUUUGUUGGGGUGAUAGAAAAAUUAAAUAAACUUUUUUUUAGUUUUAACAUUAAUAAAUGAUUAAUUUGAUCCAUAUUUUAUGAUUAUAAGAAAAAAUUACCUUAGGGAUAACAGCGUAAUUUUUUUUUUUAGUUCAAAUAAGAAAAAAAGUUUGCGACCUCGAUGUUGGAUUAAGGUAAAAUUUAAAUGCAAAAGUUUAAAAUUUUGAUCUGUUCGAUCAUUAAAAUCUUACAUGAUCUGAGUUCAAACCGGUGUGAGCCAGGUUGGUUUCUAUCUUUAAAUUUAUAAAAUAUUUUAGUACGAAAGGAUUUGAUAUUUGAAAUAAUUUUAAUUAAUGUGAAUUAUAAUAAAUUUUAAAAUAAAAUUUUUAGUUUUAGGG
This 1366-nucleotide ribosomal RNA is filed under the name Monema flavescens. RNAcentral describes it as "16S ribosomal RNA". The stretch from base 1094 to 1252 matches the Rfam family "Eukaryotic large subunit ribosomal RNA", at positions 2825 to 2984 of the family's 3401-position model. The record is from RNAcentral. Lineage: Eukaryota; Metazoa; Arthropoda; Insecta; Lepidoptera; Limacodidae.